GGGGGUCGUUAGCUCAGUUGGUAGAGCAGUUGGCUUUUAACCAAUUGGUCGUAGGUUCGAAUCCUGGAUUCGAACCUCCG
This 80-nucleotide transfer RNA is filed under the name Halomonas sp. PA5. RNAcentral describes it as "tRNA-Lys". The stretch from base 9 to 68 matches the Rfam family "tRNA", at positions 7 to 64 of the family's 71-position model. From Rfam's summary of the family: Transfer RNA (tRNA) molecules are approximately 80 nucleotides in length. Their secondary structure includes four short double-helical elements and three loops (D, anti-codon, and T loops). Lineage: Bacteria; Pseudomonadati; Pseudomonadota; Gammaproteobacteria; Oceanospirillales; Halomonadaceae. The record is from RNAcentral.